Molecule: transfer RNA, 76 nt
Filed under: Burkholderiaceae bacterium
Lineage: Bacteria; Pseudomonadati; Pseudomonadota; Betaproteobacteria; Burkholderiales; Burkholderiaceae
Description: tRNA-Val
Rfam family: tRNA
About the family: Transfer RNA (tRNA) molecules are approximately 80 nucleotides in length.
Source: RNAcentral
GGGGGUUUAGCUCAGUUGGUAGAGCGGCGCCCUUACAAGGCGUAGGUCGGGAGUUCGAGCCUCUCAACCCCCACCA